This 66-nucleotide transfer RNA is filed under the name Ophiarachnella gorgonia. Its description in RNAcentral is "tRNA-Ala". Lineage: Eukaryota; Metazoa; Echinodermata; Ophiuroidea; Amphilepidida; Ophiodermatidae. The record is from RNAcentral.
AUAAAAGUAGUUAAAAUAAUAACUUUAGAUUUGCAAUCUAAGAUUAGGUAGAGUUCCUCUUUUAUA